AGCGAACGCUGGCGGCAGGCUUAACACAUGCAAGUCGAGCGCCCCGCAAGGGGAGCGGCAGACGGGAGAGUAACACGUGGGAACAUACCUUUUGGUUCGUCACAACUGAGGGAAACUUCAGCUAAUACCGGAUAAGCCCUUCCGGGGAAAGAUUUAUCGCCGAAAGAUUGGCCCGCGUCUGAUUAGCUAGUUGGUGAGGUAACGGCGCACCAAGGCGACGAUCAGUAGCGGGUCUGAGAGGAUGAGCAGCCUCACUGGGACUGAGACACGGCCCAGACUCCUACGGGAGGCAGCAGUGGGGAAUAUUGGACAAUGGGGGCAACCAUGAUCCAGCCAGGCCGGGUGAGUGAUGAAGGCCGUAGGGUUGUAAAGCUCUUUUGCCCGGGAAGAUAAUGACGGUACCGGGAGAAUAAGCCCCGGCUAACUUCGUG
RNAcentral lists this ribosomal RNA (431 nucleotides) under uncultured bacterium. RNAcentral's name for it is "partial 16S ribosomal RNA". It matches the Rfam family "Bacterial small subunit ribosomal RNA", at positions 29 to 507 of the family's 1533-position model. The record is from RNAcentral.